AUUAACUUAGUAUAAUUUAGUGCAUGAGAUUGUAGAUCUCGAGGUAAGUGUUACGCUUAGUUAAGA
This 66-nucleotide transfer RNA is filed under the name Diplostomum ardeae. Its description in RNAcentral is "tRNA-Tyr". It matches the Rfam family "tRNA". Rfam says of the family: Transfer RNA (tRNA) molecules are approximately 80 nucleotides in length. Their secondary structure includes four short double-helical elements and three loops (D, anti-codon, and T loops). Lineage: Eukaryota; Metazoa; Platyhelminthes; Trematoda; Diplostomida; Diplostomidae. The record is from RNAcentral.